Molecule: long non-coding RNA, 1205 nt
Organism: Panicum virgatum (switchgrass)
Lineage: Eukaryota; Viridiplantae; Streptophyta; Magnoliopsida; Poales; Poaceae
Exons: 2
Source: RefSeq, a predicted model, not a curated record
ACUUUCCCCCGUGAAAUUGGUAACAUCUGAAGAAGGGUGCGAAUUAGCUGAUUGGAUUAGAACCCGGAAGCGAUUUGAUGUGCUGGGGUGCUUAUUUUUGUUGAUGUGCGGACAUGGUGCCAGGGUGGUUGGGAAAUCAACUUGCAUGUGCUUAUGUGUAGUUUGGAAAUCAAUUUUGCGGAUCUCGUGGUGCAAAGGCAAGUAAUUUAUUACUUUUCAGCAUCUACUUCUAUAGGAUUACAUGUAUAUCUCGUGAUGAUUCGUCACUUUCUCCUUUGAUCUGUGAAGGAAUCGAGUGGAUCUGCUUGUCCUCACUUGCUUCCAUUCUGCUGUGUGGACUUUGCAAGCUGCUAUGGUAAAACCAUUAGUGCCUCCUUCUCGUAACCCCUCUGCAUGUUCCAAUGAUUUUUAGUUGUAUUUGUUGCUGUGUUCUUACCUGUCCUAGCUGUGAAUGCCAAAUGAGGUGGUUGAAUGCCUAUGAGUUUCCAUUUAAUUAUAAGAAUGAUAUAAAUCUGAGAACGUGCUCAUGCUUGUGACAUCUCGGCUCUAUUAUCAUGUUUGCACUUUUAUUCAGAAUAGCAGGUCAGUGUGAUUGUUCAGAAAUGUCACUUUGAUGUUGUAUAGAUACUCUCAAUUCUUCUUGCCAUUCAUUAUUACGUGCAUGUUAGCAUGUAUGCUGAAAUAAUCAGUGGUUCCUAUUAAAGCAUGUGUGGUAAAGGCAUAUAUAGUAGUUCAUAAAAAAUACUCUUAGAAUGCUACAACAUAUAUCUGGUUGCUUUAUCUCUUCUUAUUGCUGUUUGAUAGGGGUGCAACUAUUGCUGAUGUUCACCAUCACUCUUUGUUGUUGUUUGAUACUGUACUUCCAUUUUGCAGAUAAUCUCUCUGGUCCUUUUUAUAGUUCUCCACUUGUUUGUUGAAAUGACUAGUUUGAUUGAAAAUGAUGACAAGGUCUGCGAUUAGAAGCUGAGACUGAUGCAAAACUUGAGGUCGUGCGUAAAACAUGGAUUUGCUGGAAGCUACUUUUUUUUUUUGUUUUCCAGAACUGUAAGAGGUUUUGCUAGAUUAACUAGAGUUACACUGAUUUCAUGCAGAAUUGAAAAACUUUGAUGUUGUAUCAUGUAUGUAUGUGAUGAGUUGUUGGAUUAGAAUGUAUGCUAGUUUAUAUCUUGAUUUGGGCUGAAAUGAUAAUGCAUUGAUUAGAAAAA